Molecule: ribosomal RNA, 253 nt
Filed under: uncultured bacterium
Lineage: Bacteria
Description: partial 16S ribosomal RNA
Rfam family: Bacterial small subunit ribosomal RNA
Source: RNAcentral
UACGUAGGGUGCAAGCGUUGUCCGGAAUUAUUGGGCGUAAAGAGCUCGUAGGCGGUCUGUCGCGUCUGCUGUGAAAACUCAGGGCUUAACCCUGAGCUUGCAGUGGGUACGGGCGGACUAGAGUGCGGUAGGGGAGACUGGAAUUCCUGGUGUAGCGGUGAAAUGCGCAGAUAUCAGGAGGAACACCGGUGGCGAAGGCGGGUCUCUGGGCCGUAACUGACGCUGAGGAGCGAAAGCAUGGGGAGCGAACAGG